ACUUGUUAUCAUACUUUGGACUUCUUAGCAUGGUUCAGGAGGUUUAUUUCAAGUAUCAACCUCUCCUACACACACACACGCACACCACCUGAUGUUCCUCACAGUGAGUGUCUAUCAUGGCUGUAAACGUGUUCCUGCCCAAGGAAGAGGAUCUCUGUAACCCCUCUCAUACUUCCUAUUGCCCAGGACACUGGACCUGCAAUGCCUCCUAUGAGACUACAUACAGUGGGCGUGUUAUGGAUGGCUGAAGCACAGCACGUUCGCGCAGGGAGAGAGAAGCCAGAGAUUUAACCGGAAGAACUACAUUGUUUCCAGCCCCCAAGCUGUCCUUGCGCAUCCCUGGGCGGAGGCUGAACCAACUUUGGGAGGAGCCUGGUUUACAGUCUACAGUCUAAAACAAAGAUGAAAACAGCUGCUUCCCAAGAUAACUUCCCUCUUGCCUGGGGACCAGACCAAGAAACUAGCCACAGGAUUAGAAACCAUGGCCCAGGAGCCAUGCAGCUGGAGGUUACAAGAUUUUGACCCUCCCUAAACUGCUCUCAAGAUUGGUGCUUAAGAUAUUUUGUAAACCAUGCCCUUGAUGAUCAGUUGGCACCACCCAGAUUGACAAACUGGCUUAUCUGAUUUAGCACCAGAAGACAGCCACUAUUGUAAAAUAGCAGAGACUAAAACAAAGUAUUGCCAUGCAGUUACAGAUUAUGUUCCCAAGGACAUGAAACGAGAUGGAGGCCUGUAGCCAAUUUUGUUACUAACCGUUUUGUUGGGCUGGCUUGAACAGCAGGCUUUUGGGGUCCUGGGCCUGCAUCCUAACCUAAGAUACCCUUUCUUUGACAGAACCAUAGAGAAAGAUGUGCAAAGCACCCAAGAUUGUCUACAGCUUAAGACCAACAAGUUCUUUUUCAUUAAUUAUACAUUUACAGAGAACAUAAA
Homo sapiens (human) is the source of this 930-nucleotide long non-coding RNA. Ensembl annotates it as long intergenic non-protein coding RNA 2013. The record is from Ensembl. Lineage: Eukaryota; Metazoa; Chordata; Mammalia; Primates; Hominidae.